This 207-nucleotide ribosomal RNA is filed under the name uncultured Latescibacterota bacterium. Its description in RNAcentral is "uncultured Latescibacteria bacterium partial 16S ribosomal RNA". It matches the Rfam family "Bacterial small subunit ribosomal RNA", at positions 568 to 774 of the family's 1533-position model. The record is from RNAcentral. Lineage: Bacteria; Pseudomonadati; Candidatus Latescibacterota.
CGUGUAGGCGGUCAGGUAAGUGGAAUGUGAAAUGCCCCGGCUCACCCGGGGACCGGCAUCCCAAACUGCCUGGCUUGAGUAUGGGAGAGGAUGGAGGAAUUCCUGGUGUAGCGGUGAAAUGCGUAGAUAUCAGGAGGAACACCGGUGGCGAAGGCGUCCAUCUGGCCCAAUACUGACGCUGAGGCGCGAAAGCUAGGGGAGCAAAUG